AUGUUAUCAAGAAAGGUGGAGGGAUUAGACCCAAAGAAACCUUAGCAACCCUUUAUUUGGAAAGUUUAAAAAUUUUAGAAUUUUUAAAUAAAUCAAAUAAAGAAGGUGCUAAAUUCUACUUAAAAACUGUUUUAUUACAAAAUUAUAGUUUUUUAAGAGAGAUAACGG
RNAcentral lists this non-coding RNA (168 nucleotides) under Tenacibaculum dicentrarchi. RNAcentral describes it as "SAM-I sequence". It matches the Rfam family "SAM riboswitch aptamer (S box leader)". Rfam says of the family: The SAM riboswitch is found upstream of a number of genes which code for proteins involved in methionine or cysteine biosynthesis in Gram-positive bacteria. The SAM riboswitch acts at the level of transcription termination control. Lineage: Bacteria; Pseudomonadati; Bacteroidota; Flavobacteriia; Flavobacteriales; Flavobacteriaceae. The record is from RNAcentral.